UACGUAGGGUGCGAGCGUUGUCCGGAAUUAUUGGGCGUAAAGAGCUCGUAGGCGGCUGUCCACGUCGGAUGUGAAAGCUCGGGGCUCAACCCUGAGAGGCCAUUCGAUACGGGAUAGCUAGAGGUAGGUAGGGGAGAUUGGAAUUCCUGGUGUAGCGGUGAAAUGCGCAGAUAUCAGGAGGAACACCGGUGGCGAAGGCGGUUCUCUGGGCAUUACCUGACGCUGAGGAGCGAAAGUGUGGGGAGCGAACAGG
RNAcentral lists this ribosomal RNA (253 nucleotides) under uncultured bacterium. Its description in RNAcentral is "partial 16S ribosomal RNA". It matches the Rfam family "Bacterial small subunit ribosomal RNA", at positions 524 to 776 of the family's 1533-position model. The record is from RNAcentral.